RNAcentral lists this long non-coding RNA (1282 nucleotides) under Canis lupus dingo (dingo). RNAcentral describes it as "lncRNA (ENSCAFG00020002559.1)". The record is from RNAcentral. Lineage: Eukaryota; Metazoa; Chordata; Mammalia; Carnivora; Canidae.
CAGGUGGACGCGGCGCGAGUCCGUCGGUCCGUCAGUCCGCGCGCUCAGCGCUCCGGGCGUCCUCUGCGGGCUGUGAGCUGCGGCUGCUCCGGCUUCUCUUUGCAACGAGGCUGGAGGGUGGGCCUUUUUUUUUUCCUUUCCCUUUUUUGCGCGUGUGUGUCUGUGUGUGUGCGCAAAAUAUCUCUAUCUCGGGAAUGAAAGAUGGGCGCUGGCGGCCGGAGGGGAGCCCUCAGGGAGGCAGCGGGGGAGGCUGCGGGUGCGCGGGGAGACAGGCGGGCUGCUCCCGGCGGCAGGAGGAGAAGUUGCCACCCUUUCAGCUGUUCCGGCCUUUAUAAAGGAGAAGGGAGAGCGCUAGAGGUAGCCUCUCGGUGCUCCUGUGAAGUAUGUUACUGCUAUCUUACAAAUGGGGACAUUGAAGCACAGAGAGGUUAAGCAACUUGUUCAAGGUCACACAGCCGGUAAGUGGUAGAGACUGGACUGGAACCCAAGCCUUCCAGCUGUGGAGCCCGCACGCUUAAAUUAACACCAUGCUAUGCUGCCUCUUGGCAGGUGCUGACUGAUUGACGAUGAUAAUUAUGACACAUUUUACACUUGUGAGCAUCAAACACAACAUAUGUAAAAGUGCUUUGCCAACUGAAAGUGCUGUACGGACAUGAGUUCUGACUUACGCACAAAGUGUUGUGGGAGCACAAAGGAGGGAACACACAGCUCAGCCUCCGGGGAGGGAGGCAAAGGGGAGGGAGGCUACUAGGAGCAGCAUCAUUGAGCACCCACCCAUCCUUACUGCAGGCCCGAGGUGGAAAUGUAAUAUAGGAGACCCAGAGCUGGGGUUCUGGGACCUACCAGGCUGCUAAGUGGGAUAGACACAAAUCAUUACAGUCCAGAGGUCUUUGUGCACUGCUUGGAAAUGGCAAGACGGGGACAGAAGAGACAGAUGGAACCACAGGGCUCCCAGCCUGAAUGCCAUGCUAAAGAGACACCGCCCCCCGUACCCUCUCCUUGUAGACACCAUGCCAAUGUGGGGGGGUCUUUCUAUACGAGCAGUUCUCUAAAGAACACCUCCUUCUUUUCUUCCUAAGACUUAGCACCUCCUCCAGGAAGCCCCCUGGGCUUGGUACUUGCUCUGGGUUUCCACAGCAAGUGGAAACUUGUGUUUCCCUCGUGUUGUCAUUGCCCGUUUAUCAGUCUAGCACUAGACUGAGAUCCAGGUGAACAAGGGCCUGAUUCUAGCUCCCAGCAGUUGCUCAAUAAAUGUCUGCUAGAGGAAUGAAUAAAUGAGUAC